RNAcentral lists this ribosomal RNA (247 nucleotides) under uncultured bacterium. Its description in RNAcentral is "partial 16S ribosomal RNA". It matches the Rfam family "Bacterial small subunit ribosomal RNA", at positions 523 to 769 of the family's 1533-position model. The record is from RNAcentral.
AUACGUAGGGGGCGAGCGUUGUCCGGAAUGACUGGGCGUAAAGGGCGCGUAGGCGGCUUUUUAAGUCUGGAGUGAAAGUCCUGCUUUCAAGGUGGGAAUUGCUUUGGAUACUGGAGAGCUUGAGUGCGGAAGAGGUAAGUGGAAUUCCCAGUGUAGCGGUGAAAUGCGUAGAGAUUGGGAGGAACACCAGUGGCGAAGGCGACUUACUGGGCCGUAACUGACGCUGAGGCGCGAAAGCGUGGGGAGC